GGAACCAGGAAUAAUAAAGGACCCUUACCUGGAAAACACUGCCCAACCCAGGGUGCUAACAAACUUAUUUCCCAGUAGUAUCCAAAAGGAACUGUAUGAUGUGGUAUUCUCCAAUUCUCGUAUAGGGAAUUUCUGAAUCAAACAAUAAUUUUGCCAACACACUAUCAUAAAUCCCAAUACAUGGAAAUCAAUAAGACCUAUAACAAGAAUUGUGGAGACACUAACUGAGCAGAU
Molecule: non-coding RNA, 234 nt
Organism: Pelobates cultripes (western spadefoot toad)
Lineage: Eukaryota; Metazoa; Chordata; Amphibia; Anura; Pelobatidae
Source: the annotation of a GenBank genome assembly